GUGUCAGCCGCCGCGGUAAUACGUAGGGUGCGAGCGUUAAUCGGAAUUACUGGGCGUAAAGCGUGCGCAGGCGGUUCGUUGUGUCUGAUGUGAAAGCCCCGGGCUCAACCUGGGAACUGCAUUGGAAACUGGCGGACUUGAGUGUGGCAGAGGGGGGUGGAAUUCCGCGUGUAGCAGUGAAAUGCGUAGAGAUGCGGAGGAACACCGAUGGCGAAGGCAGCCCCCUGGGCCAACACUGACGCUCAGGCACGAAAGCGUGGGGAGCAAACAGGAUUAGAAACCCCCGUAGUCC
This 292-nucleotide ribosomal RNA is filed under the name uncultured bacterium. RNAcentral's name for it is "partial 16S ribosomal RNA". It matches the Rfam family "Bacterial small subunit ribosomal RNA", at positions 505 to 796 of the family's 1533-position model. The record is from RNAcentral.